AGAGUUUGAUCCUGGCUCAGAAUCAACGCUGGCGGCGUGCCUAACACAUGCAAGUCGAGCGAGAAAAGGGGAGCAAUCCUCUGAGUACAGCGGCGCACGGGUGAGUAACACGUGGGUAAUCUGCCCUAGAGUGGGGAAUAACACCGGGAAACCGGUGCUAAUACCGCAUACGAUCACGAGGUCUGCGGACUUUGUGAUGAAAGGAGCAAUUCGCUCCAGGAGGAGCCCGCGGCUGAUUAGCUAGUUGGUGAGGUAAUGGCUCACCAAGGCAACGAUCAGUAUCCGGUCUGAGAGGACGGCCGGACACACUGGAACUGAGACACGGUCCAGACUCCUACGGGAGGCAGCAGUGGGGAAUUUUUGGCAAUGGGGGCAACCCUGACCAAGCAACGCCGCGUGGGUGAUGAAGUCUCUUGGGACGUAAAACCCUUUCGACGGGGAAGAAACCGCAAGGUUGACGGUACCCGUAGAAGAAGCCCCGGCUAACUCCGUGCCAGCAGCCGCGGUAAU
Molecule: ribosomal RNA, 510 nt
Filed under: uncultured soil bacterium
Lineage: Bacteria
Description: bacterial SSU rRNA
Rfam family: Bacterial small subunit ribosomal RNA
Source: RNAcentral